GCCGGAAUAGCUCAGCUGGGAGAGCAACAGACUGAAGCCAGUGGUGUUAUCUGGAGGUCCCGUGUUCAAUCCACGGUUCUGGCA
RNAcentral lists this transfer RNA (84 nucleotides) under Piloderma croceum F 1598. It matches the Rfam family "tRNA". Rfam says of the family: Transfer RNA (tRNA) molecules are approximately 80 nucleotides in length. The record is from Rfam by way of RNAcentral. Lineage: Eukaryota; Fungi; Basidiomycota; Agaricomycetes; Atheliales; Atheliaceae.